AUGGUUACUUUAUCGCCAGGGGUCACUGUCUCUCCAUCAUCAUCAUCGGCUCCAAAAUAUAGUCCCAUGUCCAUCUCAAUUCACGGCCAGAAAACUAUGGGCGCAAAUUUCAACUGGGGAAAACUUUGGGCCCUCCCCCUGCCAGGUAAGAUCCUCCACUUCUUAUGGCGUCUAGUAACUUAUAGUUUACCCUUAAGAAUGAAACUAAAGCAGAGGGGUUUGGAAGUGGAUACACGAUGCCUAGUUUGCUUUAGACUUGAUGAGGAUGGAGGGCAUUGCUUCCUGAAAUGCAAAUUUGCGAAAAAGAUUUGGGGUUUAUCCCAAAUGGAACCUAUCAGGCUGAAGUUGUUGUUGUGCACAAAUCCUCUAUGUCUAUUGGAAGAAGUGUUUCGGCUGAAUGAGGAGGAAUGUAUGAAAGUGUGUAUCUUACUUUGGUUAGUUUGGCAUCAAAGAAACAAAGCCAAUGCUGGAGAGAAAAUCAAAUGCCCAGAUGACAUAUUAUCUUCUAUUAAUUACCAUACUUAUGAAUACAGGAGCCUGAAGCAGCGGAGGAUGAUCCCAAAGCAGACAAACAUCCAAAAGUGGACUCCUCCACCAGCUGCAGGUGCAGGAAACCUGGAACACGUCUCGGAUGCCUUUCAUGCUGAAGCACUAGCAAUACUAAAUGCGCUCAAUGCAACAGCCAAGAUGGGUUUCAACCAAGUCAUCUUCGAAAUGGAUUCCACAGUGCUGAAGCAAGCAAUUUCAAGUGAGGACUAUGACCUAGCGCCACUCGGAGCCUUGUUCCAAGAGAUAAAAUUUCAACUGAGGAUCGCUUUUGAGAAUGUAAAACUUUAUGUAUGCCCUAUGUCUUGUAACAAUGCAGCACAUGUCUUAGCAGCACAUGAAGCUAGCUUAGGAGAUGGCAUGUAUGAAAUCUGGUUAGGCCAGUUUCCUGAACUUGUAAUGAACUCUGUAGCUGGGGAUUUAACCAGCAGGUCUCUGUAG
This 987-nucleotide ribosomal RNA is filed under the name Triticum aestivum (bread wheat). Its description in RNAcentral is "partial small subunit ribosomal RNA". Lineage: Eukaryota; Viridiplantae; Streptophyta; Magnoliopsida; Poales; Poaceae. The record is from RNAcentral.